AGAGUUGAUUAUGGCUCAGGACGAACGCUGGCGGCAUGCCUAACACAUGCAAGUCGAACGGAAGUAGCAAUACUUUAGUGGCGAACGGGUGAGUAACACGUGAGCAACCUGCCCUAUACAACGGGAUAACACAGAGAAAUUUGUGCUAAUACGGUAUAAGACCACAGUAUCGCAUGAUACAGGGGUAAAAGAUUUAUCGGUAUAGGAUGGGCUCGCGACCCAUUAGCUAGUUGGUGAGGUAACGGCCCACCAAGGCAACGAUGGGUAGCCGACCUGAGAGGGUGAUCGGCCACACUGGGACUGAGACACGGCCCAGACUCCUACGGGAGGCAGCAGUGGGGAAUAUUGGGCAAUGGAGGAAACUCUUACCCAGCAAUGCCGCGUGAAUGAAGAAGGUCUUCGGAUUGUAAAGUUCUUUAAUUGGGGACGAAAAAAAUGACGGUACCCAAGGAAUAAGCCCCGGCUAACUACGUGCCAGCAGCCGCGGUAAUACGUAGGGGGCAAGCGUUGUUCGGAAUGACUGGGCGUAAAGGGUGUGUANGCGGUUUAGCAAGUUAGAAGUGAAAUACCUAGAGCUUAACUCAGGUGCUGCUUCUAAAACUGCUAGACUUGAGUGCAGUAAAGGAAAGUGGAAUUCCUAGUGUAGCGGUGGAAUGCGUAGAUAUUA
Molecule: ribosomal RNA, 667 nt
Filed under: uncultured bacterium
Lineage: Bacteria
Description: bacterial SSU rRNA
Rfam family: Bacterial small subunit ribosomal RNA
Source: RNAcentral